Molecule: ribosomal RNA, 563 nt
Filed under: Legionella pneumophila
Lineage: Bacteria; Pseudomonadati; Pseudomonadota; Gammaproteobacteria; Legionellales; Legionellaceae
Description: partial 23S ribosomal RNA
Rfam family: Bacterial large subunit ribosomal RNA
Source: RNAcentral
GAUGGGUAGUUUGACUGGGGCGGUCUCCUCCCAAAGAGUAACGGAGGAGCACAAAGGUACCCUCGGUACGGUCGGACAUCGUACCAAGAGUGUAAAGGCAAAAGGGUGCUUGACUGCGAGAGUGACGGCUCGAGCAGGAACGAAAGUUGGUCUUAGUGAUCCGGUGGUUCUGAAUGGAAGGGCCAUCGCUCAACGGAUAAAAGGUACUCCGGGGAUAACAGGCUGAUACCGCCCAAGAGUUCAUAUCGACGGCGGUGUUUGGCACCUCGAUGUCGGCUCAUCACAUCCUGGGGCUGAAGCAGGUCCCAAGGGUAUGGCUGUUCGCCAUUUAAAGUGGUACGCGAGCUGGGUUUAGAACGUCGUGAGACAGUUCGGUCCCUAUCUGCCGUGGGCGUAGGAAAAUUGAGAGGAGCUGCUCCUAGUACGAGAGGACCGGAGUGGACGAACCUCUGGUGCACCGGUUGUCACGCCAGUGGCAUGGCCGGGUAGCUAAGUUCGGACGGGAUAACCGCUGAAAGCAUCUAAGCGGGAAGCCUCCCUCAAGAUGAGUUUUCCCAUGAAGC